UACACGCUGUGACUAGCAUAUCAAUAAGCGGAGGAAAAGAAACUAACAAGGAUUCCCCUAGUAACGGCGAGUGAAGCGGGAAGAGCUCAAAUUUGAAAUCUUAAAGGGUUUCCCUUUACGAAUUGUAGUUUAAAGAAGUGUUUUCUGUUGAGGUUUUGGUAAAAGUUCUUUGGAAUAGGACAUCAUAGAGGGUGAGAAUCCCGUAUUUGACCUUUACUUUCAACUUUGUGAUACACUUUCAAAGAGUCGGAUUGUUUGGGAAUGCAGUCCAAAAUGGGUGGUAAAUUUCAUCUAAAGCUAAAUAUUGGCGAGAGACCGAUAGCGAACAAGUACCGUGAGGGAAAGAUGAAAAGAACUUUGAAAAGAGAGUUAAACAGUAGCGUGAAAUUGUCAAAAGGGAAGCGUUUGACACCAGUGUUGUUUUUCUGAAAAUCAAUUAAAGAACUGUUUAUGCUAAGCUUGUUUAGACUUUAUCAGCUAUCUGUUUAGUUUUGAGCUUUUCUUUAAUGCAGCUUUUCAGUUAACAAGUCAACAUCAAUUUCUUUUGCUGUAAAAAAGCUUGAGGAAGGUGGCUUGAGAUUCGUCUUAAGUGUUUAUAGCCUCUUGCCUAUGCAGUCGGAGAGAUUGAGGUCUGCAGCGUAGAUCCUUCGGGGCUAAAUGCAUUUGUGCUAAGUUAUAGCAUUUUAUAGACAACUUGUUGACUAUGAUUUGUCUUGUAGCUUACUCGCUUAUGUUAUUUUACCUACGCUUAGGAUGUUGAAGAUGUAGCACAUCAU
RNAcentral lists this ribosomal RNA (776 nucleotides) under uncultured Neocallimastigales. Its description in RNAcentral is "partial large subunit ribosomal RNA". It matches the Rfam family "Eukaryotic large subunit ribosomal RNA", at positions 22 to 635 of the family's 3401-position model. Lineage: Eukaryota; Fungi; Neocallimastigomycota; Neocallimastigomycetes; Neocallimastigales. The record is from RNAcentral.